AAAAAUGCAGUCGAGCGGUAACAGGGGAUACAGCUUGCUGCAUUCGCUGACGAGCGGCGGACGGGUGAGUAAUGUCUGGGAAACUGCCUGAUGGAGGGGGAUAACCACUGGAAACGGUGGCUAAUACCGCAUAACGUCGCAAGACCAAAGUGGGGGACCUUCGGGCCUCAUGCCAUCAGAUGUGCCCAGAUGGGAUUAGCUUGUAGGUGGGGUAACGGCUCACCUAGGCGACGAUCCCUAGCUGGUCUGAGAGGAUGACCAGCCACACUGGAACUGAGACACGGUCCAGACUCCUACGGGAGGCAGCAGUGGGGAAUAUUGCACAAUGGGCGCAAGCCUGAUGCAGCCAUGCCGCGUGUAUGAAGAAGGCCUUCGGGUUGUAAAGUACUUUCAGUGAGGAGGAAGGCGUGAUGUUUAAUACGCAUCGCGAUUGACGUUACUCACAGAAGAAGCACCGGCUAACUCCGUGCCAGCAGCCGCGGUAAUACGGAGGGUGCAAGCGUUAAUCGGAAUUACUGGGCGUAAAGCGCACGCAGGCGGUCUGUUAAGUCAGAUGUGAAAUCCCCGGGCUCAACCCGGGAACUGCAUUUGAAACUGGCAGGCUUGAGUCUCGUAGAGGGGGGGUAGAAUUCCAGGUGUAGCGGUGAAAUGCGUAGAGAUCUGGAGGAAUACCGGUGGCGAAGGCGGCCCUCUGGACGAAGACUGACGCUCAGGUGCGAAAGCGUGGGGAGCAAACGAGGAUUAGAUACCCUGGUAGUCCACGCCGUAAAACGAUGUCG
This 779-nucleotide ribosomal RNA is filed under the name Franconibacter sp. RNAcentral describes it as "bacterial SSU rRNA". It matches the Rfam family "Bacterial small subunit ribosomal RNA", at positions 51 to 814 of the family's 1533-position model. The record is from RNAcentral. Lineage: Bacteria; Pseudomonadati; Pseudomonadota; Gammaproteobacteria; Enterobacterales; Enterobacteriaceae.